AUUUAAAUAGCUUAUAAAGAGCAUAAUAUUGAAGAUAUUAAGGAGAUUGUAAAUCUUUAGAUA
Molecule: transfer RNA, 63 nt
Filed under: Papilio thoas (king swallowtail)
Lineage: Eukaryota; Metazoa; Arthropoda; Insecta; Lepidoptera; Papilionidae
Description: tRNA-Phe
Source: RNAcentral